CUGCUCGCUUCAGCAGCACAUGCACUAAAACUGGAACGACACAGAGAAGAUCGGUAUGGCCCCCGCACAAGGAGGACACGCAAAUUCGUGAAGCGUUCAUAUUUUUA
Artibeus jamaicensis (Jamaican fruit-eating bat) is the source of this 107-nucleotide small nuclear RNA. The record is from RefSeq and is a predicted model, not a curated record. NCBI's taxonomy places the organism in Eukaryota, Metazoa, Chordata, Mammalia, Chiroptera, Phyllostomidae.